RNAcentral lists this long non-coding RNA (270 nucleotides) under Ursus americanus (American black bear). RNAcentral describes it as "lncRNA (ENSUAMG00000018561.1)". The record is from RNAcentral. Lineage: Eukaryota; Metazoa; Chordata; Mammalia; Carnivora; Ursidae.
UGGGUAUCUGAGCUCACAGUGACGUGGCCCUUACGAGACCUAGAGCUGACGCGUGGGUUCGUGUCUCCUCCUAGUUGCAGUCUGGCAGUCGUUUGUGGCUGUGCGCGGUCUCGCUCUUGCCUUGAAGGCAGGCGAGCCUGCAGCCCAGGGAAGGAGGAAGUCGAAGAAGCUGACCCUGAUUCGUAGCAGGUCUUUAGGUCGGUUGGUGCAGCAGAUUGCAAGGCUAAGAGAGGAAGACCGCUUCUGAUCCCUGCAGGAAGAGUAAGCAGG